UACGUAGGUGGCAAGCGUUAAUUGGAAUUACUGGGCGUAAAGCGCGCGUAGGCGGUUUGAUCAGUUGGAUGUGAAAGCCCAGGGCUCAACCUUGGAACUGCAUUCAAUACUGUCAGGCUAGAGUACGGGAGAGGGGGGUAGAAUUCCACGUGUAGCGGUGAAAUGCGUAGAGAUGUGGAGGAAUACCGGUGGCGAAGGCGGCCCCCUGGAUCGAUACUGACGCUGAGGUGCGAAAGCGUGGGGAGCAAACAGG
Molecule: unclassified non-coding RNA, 253 nt
Filed under: uncultured Oceanospirillales bacterium
Lineage: Bacteria; Pseudomonadati; Pseudomonadota; Gammaproteobacteria; Oceanospirillales
Description: contains 16S-23S intergenic spacer region
Rfam family: Bacterial small subunit ribosomal RNA
Source: RNAcentral